UGAGACCUCUUGAUGGCCGCGGCCGUGACCUUCAUUGGGAUCGGCUGAGGAACUUCCGGGCUCCGCAGAGCACGAUGGCGGAUAACGUCCGCCCAGGGCGACCUGAGAGAUAGCGCAACAGAGAACAGACCGCCCGUCCUCGACGGGUAAGGGUGAAACGGCGGUGUAAGAGACCACCGGGCCGCUGGCAACAGUCGGCCGCAUGGCAAGCCUCAUCGGGAGCAAGGCCAAGCAGAUGGCGGUAAGGGCUGCUCGCCCGUGUCAUCGGGUAGGCUGCUAGAGCCUGACGGCAACGUCAGGUCGAGAUGGAUGGUCAUCCGUGCCGUGCGUUCGCGCGCGACACGACAGAACCCGGGGUAUAAGAGGUCUCAUCAC
RNAcentral lists this RNase P RNA (375 nucleotides) under Bifidobacterium myosotis. RNAcentral describes it as "RNase P RNA component class A". It matches the Rfam family "Bacterial RNase P class A". From Rfam's summary of the family: Ribonuclease P (RNase P) is a ubiquitous endoribonuclease, found in archaea, bacteria and eukarya as well as chloroplasts and mitochondria. The record is from RNAcentral. Lineage: Bacteria; Bacillati; Actinomycetota; Actinomycetes; Bifidobacteriales; Bifidobacteriaceae.